Molecule: ribosomal RNA, 988 nt
Filed under: Salmonella enterica subsp. salamae
Lineage: Bacteria; Pseudomonadati; Pseudomonadota; Gammaproteobacteria; Enterobacterales; Enterobacteriaceae
Description: bacterial SSU rRNA
Source: RNAcentral
GCCCUAACACAUGCAAGUCGAACGGUAACAGGAAGCAGCUUGCUGCUUCGCUGACGAGUGGCGGACGGGUGAGUAAUGUCUGGGAAACUGCCUGAUGGAGGGGGAUAACUACUGGAAACGGUGGCUAAUACCGCAUAACGUCGCAAGACCAAAGAGGGGGACCUUCGGGCCUCUUGCCAUCAGAUGUGCCCAGAUGGGAUUAGCUUGUUGGUGAGGUAACGGCUCACCAAGGCGACGAUCCCUAGCUGGUCUGAGAGGAUGACCAGCCACACUGGAACUGAGACACGGUCCASACUCCUACGGGAGGCAGCAGUGGGGAAUAUUGCACAAUGGGCGCAAGCCUGAUGCAGCCAUGCCGCGUGUAUGAAGAAGGCCUUCGGGUUGUAAAGUACUUUCAGCGGGGAGGAAGGUGUUGCGGUUAAUAACCGCAGCAAUUGACGUUACCCGCAGAAGAAGCACCGGCUAACUCCGUGCCAGCAGCCGCGGUAAUACGGAGGGUGCAAGCGUUAAUCGGAAUUACUGGGCGUAAAGCGCACGCAGGCGGUCUGUCAAGUCGGAUGUGAAAUCCCCGGGCUCAACCUGGGAACUGCAUUCGAAACUGGCAGGCUUGAGUCUUGUAGAGGGGGGUAGAAUUCCAGGUGUAGCGGUGAAAUGCGUAGAGAUCUGGAGGAAUACCGGUGGCGAAGGCGGCCCCCUGGACAAAGACUGACGCUCAGGUGCGAAAGCGUGGGGAGCAAACAGGAUUAGAUACCCUGGUAGUCCACGCCGUAAACGAUGUCUACUUGGAGGUUGUGCCCUUGAGGCGUGGCUUCCGGAGCUAACGCGUUAAGUAGACCGCCUGGGGAGUACGGCCGCAAGGUUAAACUCAUAUGAAUUGACGGGGGCCCGCACAAGCGGUGGAGCAUGUGGUUUAAAUCGAUGCAACGCGAAGAACCUUACCUGGUCUGACAUCCACGAGAGGUCUCAGAGAUGAAAUUGUGUCCUUCGG